Long non-coding RNA from Bufo bufo (common toad), 161 nucleotides. RefSeq lists it as uncharacterized. The transcript has 3 exons. NCBI's taxonomy places the organism in Eukaryota, Metazoa, Chordata, Amphibia, Anura, Bufonidae. The record is from RefSeq and is a predicted model, not a curated record.
UCAGGAUGUCUUCAGUUCAGUCAUUUUGACUGAUCAGGCAAAAGAUAAAACCGUAGCAUGCUACAGUUUUAUCUCCGGGCGAAAAAAACUGAAGACUUGCCGGAAUGCCGUAUCCGGAAUUUUUCCUAUAGGAAUGUAUAAGUGCCAAAUCCACCUUUUGC